This 27-nucleotide non-coding RNA is filed under the name Mus musculus (house mouse). The record is from RNAcentral. Lineage: Eukaryota; Metazoa; Chordata; Mammalia; Rodentia; Muridae.
UAAGUUUGAGAAAGGCGUGCACUUGUU